ACCAGCAUGGUGUAGUAGUUAGAGCAUUGGACUAUGACUCUAGAGACCAGGGUUCAAAUCCCAGCUUGGUC
RNAcentral lists this transfer RNA (71 nucleotides) under Phrynosoma platyrhinos (Desert horned lizard). Its description in RNAcentral is "tRNA-OTHER". Lineage: Eukaryota; Metazoa; Chordata; Lepidosauria; Squamata; Phrynosomatidae. The record is from RNAcentral.